Molecule: transfer RNA, 74 nt
Filed under: Camelus bactrianus (Bactrian camel)
Lineage: Eukaryota; Metazoa; Chordata; Mammalia; Artiodactyla; Camelidae
Also listed under: 1 other name
Rfam family: tRNA
About the family: Transfer RNA (tRNA) molecules are approximately 80 nucleotides in length.
Source: Rfam by way of RNAcentral
GGUGGUAUAGCUCAAAGUGGUAAAGUGCAUGUUUAGCAUGCACAGGGUCGUGGGUUCAAUCCCCAGUACCUCCU